This 445-nucleotide ribosomal RNA is filed under the name uncultured bacterium. RNAcentral's name for it is "partial 16S ribosomal RNA". It matches the Rfam family "Bacterial small subunit ribosomal RNA", at positions 354 to 796 of the family's 1533-position model. The record is from RNAcentral.
GUGAGGAAUAUUGGUCAAUGGACGAGAGUCUGAACCAGCCAAGUCGCGUGAAGGAAGACGGUUCUAUGAAUUGUAAACUUCUUUUGUGCAGGAAUAAAGUGGGUUACGUGUAACCUUUUGUAUGUACUGUACGAAUAAGGAUCGGCUAACUCCGUGCCAGCAGCCGCGGUAAUACGGAGGAUCCGAGCGUUAUCCGGAUUUAUUGGGUUUAAAGGGUGCGUAGGUGAAUUGAUAAGUCAGCGGUGAAAGUUUGCAGCUUAACUGUAAAAUUGCCGUUGAAACUGUCGGUCUUGAGUGCAAAUGAGGUAGGCGGAAUGUGUUGUGUAGCGGUGAAAUGCUUAGAUAUAACACAGAACUCCGAUUGCGAAGGCAGCUUACUGGGAUGCAACUGACACUGAUGCACGAAAGCGUGGGUAUCAAACAGGAUUAGAAACCCUUGUAGUCC